This 63-nucleotide transfer RNA is filed under the name Onomarchus uninotatus. RNAcentral describes it as "tRNA-Leu". It matches the Rfam family "tRNA". From Rfam's summary of the family: Transfer RNA (tRNA) molecules are approximately 80 nucleotides in length. Their secondary structure includes four short double-helical elements and three loops (D, anti-codon, and T loops). The record is from RNAcentral. Lineage: Eukaryota; Metazoa; Arthropoda; Insecta; Orthoptera; Tettigoniidae.
UCUAAUAUGGCAGAAUAGUGCAUUAGAUUUAAGCUCUAAAUAUAAAGGAUACUUUUAUUAGAA